RNAcentral lists this ribosomal RNA (247 nucleotides) under Richoniella sp. 1 CRJH-2017. RNAcentral's name for it is "partial 28S ribosomal RNA". It matches the Rfam family "Eukaryotic large subunit ribosomal RNA", at positions 104 to 344 of the family's 3401-position model. Lineage: Eukaryota; Fungi; Basidiomycota; Agaricomycetes; Agaricales; Entolomataceae. The record is from RNAcentral.
AAAGCUCAAAUUUAAAAUCUGGUGGUCUUUGGCUGCCCGAGUUGUAAUCUAGAGAAGCAUUAUCCGCGCUGGACCAUGUAUAAGUCUCCUGGAAUGGAGCGUCAUAGAGGGUGAGAAUCCCGUCUUUGACAUGGACUACCAGGGCAUUGUGAUGUGCUCUCAAAGAGUCGAGUUGUUUGGGAAUGCAGCUCUAAAUGGGUGGUAAAUUUCAUCUAAAGCUAAAUAUGGGUGAGAGACCGAUAGCGAA